Molecule: transfer RNA, 76 nt
Filed under: Bacteroides sp. CAG:633
Lineage: Bacteria; Pseudomonadati; Bacteroidota; Bacteroidia; Bacteroidales; Bacteroidaceae
Also listed under: 2 other names
Description: transfer RNA-Gly(GCC)
Rfam family: tRNA
About the family: Transfer RNA (tRNA) molecules are approximately 80 nucleotides in length.
Source: RNAcentral
GCGGAAAUAGCUCAGUUGGUAGAGCACAACCUUGCCAAGGUUGGGGUCGCGAGUUCGAGUCUCGUUUUCCGCUCCU